This is a long non-coding RNA of Neofelis nebulosa (Clouded leopard), 2136 nucleotides long. RefSeq lists it as uncharacterized. Lineage: Eukaryota; Metazoa; Chordata; Mammalia; Carnivora; Felidae. The record is from RefSeq and is a predicted model, not a curated record. The transcript has 3 exons.
AGUUUUGAAUGGGGGCAACUGUUUGCUGAAGUGUGAUGUGUGAAGAGGUGGAAAGAAAUGAACUCAAGCAUCUCAGAAGUUUCAAUUCAGAGAGAGACAGAGAGAGCACAAGCUGCAGAGGGUCAGAGAGAGAGGGAGACACAGAAUCUGAAGCAAGCUCCAGGCUCUGAGCUGUCAGCACAGAGCCUGAUGUGGGGCUUGAAGCCAUGAACCCUGAAAUCCUACGCUAAACUGACUGAGCCACCCAGGCUCCCCAAGAACUCAACAUUCUUAAAUGUAAAAAGCUAAAAUAACUAAGUGAAUGAAGUUGAAACAUACUUUUCAAUACAAAAAGGCCACAGAAAUGAUUUCUUCAAAGAUUUUUUAUGUUUGUAAAUACCUUUGAAAUCUCAGAAUUCGGAUUCAUUAGAAAUGUUAGUGUCAUGUAACCAAGUACUUGGCUGUUUCCAAUGGAAAUUUUUGAAGAAAAUAAAAUUCUAAUCUGUAAAAGAUAUUAUAUUUAAAUUAAAAUAAAAUCCUAUUAUUCUUUUAAACAAUUCCAAACAAGUAAUUUGUUUUAAUAUUGUUCCUCCACGUUUCUACAAACAAUCCCAAAUAAGAAACCGUUUUUCCCCUUAGGGUAGAAACAUAAUUCCUCCACAAUCUAGGCAAAAAGCAAGACCCUAACUGUAACAGUGUCACUUUUACUUAACUGCCUUUUUGAUCUAUGACAAAUAAGUUCUCAUUUCCUUAUAUCACAUUAAGAUAAAUGUAUCCAUAACUACUUGAAGUGUUACCAAUCCAAGAAUAUUUUAUUCUAGUAAAUCAAAGCCCAAUGUUUAGAAGCAAAAUUAUUGAGUUUCAAGCAUUAGGCUCCUUCCUGUAAGCAUUGAUCUUAUCCCAAUCCCUGAAUCAUAUCUUUCAAGUGUGUCACUUAAAAAAGUUUACUGAUAAGACCAACCCUUCAAAAAAAUACAUAUUUAGCUGCCCUUAAUUUUUUUUCAUUCUGUACCCUGCUUAUGGUUGUUUCAUAUUUGAUCACCAGGGAUUAAUUUAGUUUCUUCCCAUUAACAGUUCAGUAUACAUUAUUUUUUAUGGAACUGAACAAGUUUGCUUCAGAGUUAGUGGAGAAAUAUAUAUUAUACCUAUUUGCUAUUGAUGAACCUAUAUUAUCACUGCUCGUGAAAAAUGCAGAAAAAGUUUCUGAAGAAACUGAAGAUGUUAUAUGCAGUAUAAUAUAGUGGGUACAGGCUUGGGUAUUGAAAUCAGACACAUCAAGAUCCAAACUAGAUUAUUGGCCCGCAUUGGAGGUAAUAUUGAACAAAUCAUUUUAAGCCUUUUAUUUUCAUAAGCGGGUUAAAUAAAGUAAUGUAUAGAAAGUCUUGCACAAAUAGUAAGGACUCAGUAAGUGUUAACAAAGAUAAAACCAAUAUACCCCAAUAAAAACUUUAGAGUGCACCUGGAUUUCAUAGCCUCAUUAAUAAGUAGAUUGUAUCAUUAGUCAAUUAACCUUUACUUUCCACAGCUAAAAUUAUAUUUUAAAAGUUUUUAUACAUUAUAAAAUGAAGAAUUUAGGUAAUGACUGCAACAGACUACAACACAGAACUUAAAGCUAAAUUCCCUUGCUUUUACAUGUUUGAAUUUUUCAAUGAACUUUCUGUGUCAGAACUCUGCCAAUGUUUGUGUAAAUCAUAUGCUAAACUUCUUGGUUCAGUUUUGUUUCAUUGAUCACUUAAUAAAUAAAUAUUUGUCUAACAUCUAUUAUUUACCAUGACUCUAUUAUUUGUUACUACUAUAAAUUUGCAUAAGAUAUUGCUUCUGUUUUCAAGUCUGUUUGCACAAGUCUGGAAGAAGAGGCAGAGAUGUAAAUAGCUGAUAAUAAUAAAAAGUUAUGUGUACACAAAUAACUUAUUAUAGAAAUUGUGACAAAUGUCAUAAAGCAGUUUGACAUGAAUCAUAAGAAUAGGUGUGGAAUAGUAAGAUUCAUAGCACUCAUCUCAUGUACAAUGUUAAGAUUAUAAAGUAAAACUUAGGUUUCUUACUCACAGUGGGAUAUAACAGAGCCAGACUGUGCUUUGCCAAUUAUUAGUGAUAUGAUUAUGAGCCCUAGUAUUCUCUGUUGUAAAUUGGGUUAAUAAAAUUUUCAUUUAAAUAUUU